RNAcentral lists this ribosomal RNA (618 nucleotides) under uncultured bacterium. Its description in RNAcentral is "bacterial SSU rRNA". It matches the Rfam family "Bacterial small subunit ribosomal RNA", at positions 338 to 951 of the family's 1533-position model. The record is from RNAcentral.
CCUACGGGAGGCAGCAGUGGGGAAUUUUGGACAAUGGGCGAAAGCCUGAUCCAGCAAUGCCGCGUGCAGGAAGAAGGCCUUCGGGUUGUAAACUGCUUUUGUACGGAACGAAACGGUCUGCUUUAAUACAGUGGGCUAAUGACGGUACCGUAAGAAUAAGCACCGGCUAACUACGUGCCAGCAGCCGCGGUAAUACGUAGGGUGCGAGCGUUAAUCGGAAUUACUGGGCGUAAAGCGUGCGCAGGCGGUUAUAUAAGACAGUUGUGAAAUCCCCGGGCUCAACCUGGGAAUUGCAUCUGUGACUGUAUAGCUAGAGUACGGUAGAGGGGGAUGGAAUUCCGCGUGUAGCAGUGAAAUGCGUAGAUAUGCGGAGGAACACCGAUGGCGAAGGCAAUCCCCUGGACCUGUACUGACGCUCAUGCACGAAAGCGUGGGGAGCAAACAGGAUUAGAUACCCUGGUAGUCCACGCCCUAAACGAUGUCAACUGGUUGUUGGGUGCAUUAGUACUCAGUAACGAAGCUAACGCGUGAAGUUGACCGCCUGGGGAGUACGGCCGCAAGGUUGAAACGUCAAAGGAUUGACGGCNGAGAGNGCGAGGACGACGACGAGGGAGGAGG